Schistocerca gregaria is the source of this 3133-nucleotide RNA transcript. It is a transcript of the gene named leucine-zipper-like transcriptional regulator 1, with no coding region annotated. The transcript has 5 exons. The record is from RefSeq and is a predicted model, not a curated record. Lineage: Eukaryota; Metazoa; Arthropoda; Insecta; Orthoptera; Acrididae.
AGAAACAGGAACAAAAGCCACAUACAUCACGGAGGUAAUUUUUUUUGAAAUUGUAUGGCGAAUAGAUAUGUCAAAAAUGUGGAUCCGUAUAUCGGGGUAUCAGAGCAGGCGCGAUUUGUGAAAACAGGUGGCACGGCAGUCUCGAAAUGGUGAUUAUGUAUCUAGAAACAAGGACCCUGUGUUUAGAGUUUGAAGACUCGUAGGGUAAUCGAACUUGAUUGAGAAGAGGAAGACAUGCCAGAGACAAAAUUGAGGUUACUGUGCACAUAAAACGUGACAGAGCGACAAAGAGAGAGGCUACUCUGUGCAUUCAAUACACAUUUAGUGGUCUAUGUACGUGUUACAUUAUUUUCGACAGUAUUGUGCAUUCCUCGCAUUUAUCAUGAACACAUUUUCCUCCUCUCUGAUUAAGCAGCAAAAAAUGAUGCGUCUUCAGAGCUUUGUUCUUUUAAAGGGGCUCUACAGGCCCGGAUUCGCAGGUCUCUCCUCCCCUAUUUUUAGGGAAGGCAGAGAGAAGAGCGCACUCUUUCGAUGUCUGAGUUCCUCUCAAGAAACUGGGUUGCUGUUCCUGGUCUGAUGAAGAUUCUAGAAAACGAGACACUCCGUGGCGGUCCUUUCUUUAGGGACAAGCUAUUGCGCGGAUCCGAAAUGAAACGUGGUAUAGUCAUGGAAAGUCGCACGUGCAAGAGUGAAGAGCGGCCGUGAGAGAAUUUUGAUGUAAUACCUCGACACGUCAUCGUGUGUGGGAAGCUGCCUUUUCUGUUUCUGAUAUUUUUCUGAACAGGAUUACAGUGUUGCACUAGAUAAGGGAAUAGAAAGCAGAAUGAAGUUAACUAACGCUUGCUGGAAUUUAAGUCGCGAUGCAAAGUAACACCACUUUCAAAUUUCUCACAUUCUAACUUCCUAGCAUGCAUUAUACAAAAUUUUCAGGUGAAGAGGGUGUGGUGCUGAUUGUAUAUUUGCACUGAUCAGGGGUCUAGAGAUACAUUUUGAAUUGAGUAGGGAUGAAAUGAUACAGAUAAGCUAUUCCUGAUAUGAUCAGCCUACUAUUCUUAUUGAAUGCAUCAAAAAACAUGGCAAAGGUGAAUUUUGGAAACGAACCUCCGUUCUUGGAUGCAGCCAACUUAGAGAGCUUUAGUUUGACUGACUCUGAACUAUCAUCAUACGAUGGCUACCAUAUACACCCUUCAGCGACCAAUCACCAAUCAGAUGCUAUGCACUCUACUAACAAGUGCUGCACGCAACCGCAUGACGAGAUCGGAAAUGUCUUUGGCGAUCGAUUUCAUGGAAAAAAACGACUGACUCAGUUUCCUCGAGAACUUUUGGUAAAGAUUUUCAAGUUUUUUAAUGUUCAAACUCUGUUUCAUAUUGCCUCGGUGUGCAAACUGUUCAACAACUUAGUGUCUUCCAAUCUUACGUGGCUAGCAGUAGCGCAGCUAAGAUUUCCUGAAUUAUCGGUCGAAACGUUGAGUACCAGUUCUAUUCCUGUCCAGAUUUCUAAGGUUAAUUGGCGCGCUUAUUAUUUAGAGAGGCUAGAACUCGAGAAGCCGCUACCUUUAAUCUGGAAAGAAGUAUUUUACCCAAGGGUGAUUGAGCCACGGUAUGCACAUACAGGGACAGUAAUAGAAGGCAAUUUAUAUAUUAUAGGUGGCGAGAAUUCAAUUUUGUCUAGGUUCAAUGAUGUUCAUUGCUUGAAUUUAGAAACUUCCGAAAUCACCAAGUGUCACACGAGGAACGAGAUCCAGCUCAUCUCGAGACAUCAGGCGAUUGGAUACAAAGAGUCGAUUUACGUCUUCGGCGGAUACGAUGGGGUUUCAAACUUCAACAAUUUGAAGAAGCUAGACACUGUUACCCAGACUUGGUCUAUACCCAAGACGAGUGGUCAAGCGCCUAUAUGCCGGUCAAAUCACGGGUGCGUGUUGUUGGGACACGAUGUUUACAUUUUUGGCGGAAAUAAUCAGAUGAGCGAAAACGACUACCAAGUGCUUGGGGAUUUUUACAAGCUUGAUUUAGAAGCAAUGAGAUGGGAGGACUACACAGAUCAACACGACGGAUACAUUCCGUCCAGGCGAAGCGGUCACAGAUUGGUGGAGAUUGGUGGGAAAAUAUGGAUGUUUGGAGGUGGCGUAUGGUGCAAGAGUGCCGCUGCUUGGAAGGAAAAGUACAAUCAAGUGAACGUGUACGAUCCGGUAAAAAGGUGCUGGAGGCUAUUAGAGGAGGAGGAUAACGCAAGCGUGUGUACGUUUUCUAGUUGCGCGAGAAUGGGCUUUCAAUUAGCGGUAUGGGGAGGACAGGAGAUGGAAACGAAUUGGACGUCUUCAAGUUUUUUCACGUUGGAUACGAUUACUUUGAGAUGGAGGAAAUGGAGUAUACCAAAUUCUCCGAAGUGUCGAGACAUGGGGGUGUUAGUGGCCAUAGGAAAUCACGAGAUGUUAUUAUUUGGAGGCAAUCACGGGGGUCCGAAGGAUGACUGGCACGUAUUGCAAUCGUCAAUUGAUGUUUUGGCUGAUGUGUUGUACGACAAGGCAAAGAACAGGAGAAAAAGUGUACGACGUAAUGAAGAGAGGCAACACUUCAGGUCCAGGGAAGGAAUUGCGUGAAUAAAGAGAUGCCGACAAGGUUGUAGAAGAUGAGAUAGAAUGCGACAAGAGAGGGCCAUAGGUGACCGCUAUUUGCAGAAAAUAGGUGGACCAUAUACCAAUAGACAAAUGGACACUGCGAAAAGAUGAAGCGAUUCAGCACUUGGAUGUAGAUGAAAGGAACAGAAACCAAGAGCAGAAACAUUACUUGAGCUACAUAGACAAAUACCGAAUUUCGUUUGAAUGGUGGUAUGGCGCCGGUGUCUGGGUAUAAGAAUGUGUUUAGUAAAGAUCGUGCGUUACACAGGAAAAAGAACAAUUGGCUUACUUUUUGUCGGUUUAUCUGGACAUAGACCUAAACUAAAUUGUUUCAAAUUGCAGAUGGCAUAAGAGACAAUACCCAUUAUACAUAAUAUGAUAACGGGAAGGGCGAUUAAAAAGUUUGGAACUUGUUUGAGUGUGUAGUAUCUGAAUAGGCCAACAUUCCUAUAGUUUUAUACGAACAACUUGUGUUAAAUAAAGGAAAAGAAGUUUUUGAUGAGGGAGGAAAAAAA